This 249-nucleotide ribosomal RNA is filed under the name uncultured bacterium. Its description in RNAcentral is "partial 16S ribosomal RNA". It matches the Rfam family "Bacterial small subunit ribosomal RNA", at positions 796 to 1041 of the family's 1533-position model. The record is from RNAcentral.
CAUGCCGUAAACGAUGAGAACUAGAUGUGUGAGGUAUUGACCCCUUACGUGUCGCAGCUAACGCAGUAAGUUCUCCGCCUGGGAAGUACGGCCGCAAGGUUAAAACUCAAAGGAAUUGACGGGGGCCCGCACAAGCGGUGGAGCAUGUGGUUUAAUUCGACGCAACGCGAAGAACCUUACCUAGGUUUGACAUCUGUGAGAGCUGGCUGAAAGGUUGGUGUGCCCGCAAGGGAAUCACAAGACAGGUGC